Non-coding RNA from Acanthosepion pharaonis, 100 nucleotides. The record is from the annotation of a GenBank genome assembly. NCBI's taxonomy places the organism in Eukaryota, Metazoa, Mollusca, Cephalopoda, Sepiida, Sepiidae.
UGUUGAAACACUGGUUCCUAUAUGAUCAUUAAGUUAAGCACUGUCAAGCCUGGUCAGUACCUAGAUGGGUGACCACUUGGGAAUACCAGGUGCUGCAAGC